RNAcentral lists this long non-coding RNA (1107 nucleotides) under Sus scrofa (pig). Its description in RNAcentral is "lncRNA (ENSSSCG00070006343.1)". Lineage: Eukaryota; Metazoa; Chordata; Mammalia; Artiodactyla; Suidae. The record is from RNAcentral.
AGGCCAGUGCCGGCCUGCCAGGGCUUGGGCAAAUGGAGGUGACAGGUUGUAUGGAUCCAGUGAAAUCUCUAUUGUUCCCUUCAGGCCAAAAGGAAGCAGGGCACGCCUGCAGGAAGCUCCUACUGGCUCAAGUCUGGACUUUAAGUGCUUCCAUAAGGAUAACAACUGCCAGGAAUGGAACUUCAAGAGAUUAUUUUGGCAAGUCUUGAGUUCCCGAUGCUCUUUCAUUGCAAAGUAACUCCUGGAUCACGGCUGGUUUUGUUUGUGGUCGGUUUCCUGGUGGUUUUGGAGGCUGAGGAUGAUCUCCACCCCUGGGGAAUUCAGGGGAAGCGUGGACCCUGAACCUCGGUACUCUGUCCUGCUACCCUUGGACGUGCCCCUUCACCAAAGGGCAGCCAUGGCACGAGGACCCUUAGGACACCAGGGACACAGCUAAGAACUGGAAGCGAAAGGAAACGAGGGAAGCAGUAUGUCCUCACCUCCACCACCACUGCCAAGGCACUGCCAAAGCUGUCCUGGACCUAGGGCACGGAGGGGUGCUUCGCUGGGACUUGGCGGCCUUCCAGGACUGACCAGGAGACACAAGGCCAAAAGGAAGCAGGGCACGCCUGCAGGAAGCUCCUACUGGCUCAAGUCUGGACUUUAAGUGCUUCCAUAAGGAUAACAACUGCCAGGAAUGGAACUUCAAGAGAUUAUUUUGGCAAGUCUUGAGUUCCCGAUGCUCUUUCAUUGCAAAGUAACUCCUGGAUCACGGCUGGUUUUGUUUGUGGUCGGUUUCCUGGUGGUUUUGGAGGCUGAGGAUGAUCUCCACCCCUGGGGAAUUCAGGGGAAGCGUGGACCCUGAACCUCGUACUCUGUCCUGCUACCUUGGACGUGCCCUUCACCAAAGGGCAGCCAUGGCACGAGGACCCUUAGGACACCAGGGACACAGCUAAGAACUGGAAGCGAAAGGAAACGAGGGAAGCAGUAUGUCCUCACCUCCACCACCACUGCCAAGGCACUGCCAAAGCUGUCCUGGACCUAGGGCACGGAGGGGUGCUUCGCUGGGACUUGGCGGCCUUCCAGGACUGACCAGGAGACACAAGGUGCCUAGAGACCAGGGACACA